UACAGAGGUCUCGAGCGUUGUUCGGAUUCAUUGGGCGUAAAGGGUGCGUAGGUGGCGGGGUAAGUCGGAUGUGAAAUCCCGGAGCUCAACUCCGGAACUGCAUUCGAUACUGCCUUGCUUGAGUACUGGAGAGGAGAUCGGAAUUUACGGUGUAGCAGUGAAAUGCGUAGAUAUCGUAAGGAAGACCAGUGGCGAAGGCGGAUCUCUGGACAGUUCUGACACAGAGGCACGAAGGCCAGGGGAGCAAACGGG
RNAcentral lists this ribosomal RNA (252 nucleotides) under uncultured bacterium. RNAcentral describes it as "partial 16S ribosomal RNA". It matches the Rfam family "Bacterial small subunit ribosomal RNA", at positions 524 to 776 of the family's 1533-position model. The record is from RNAcentral.